RNAcentral lists this ribosomal RNA (395 nucleotides) under Dactylopius confusus. RNAcentral describes it as "partial small subunit ribosomal RNA". The record is from RNAcentral. Lineage: Eukaryota; Metazoa; Arthropoda; Insecta; Hemiptera; Dactylopiidae.
AAGAAUAAUAAACUUUCUAAUUCAAUUUAAUUAUAAUUUACAUAUUGAUCUAUCAUUAAAUUUAAGUUAACCUAACUAAAUUACAUUCAAAUAAUUCAUUAACAACUAUAUAUAAAAAAUAAAUUAAAUGAAAUUCAAAGUGUAACUUCCACUUAAAGAACAAGAUUCUUUAAUAAUUAAGUACCGCCAAAUAAACUAACUUUAACUUUCCAUUAAUUACUAUAAAAAUUUCAUUAAUUCAUCUAGGGUAUCUAAUCCUAUUGCCUCAAAUUAACUAAAGUUGAAAAUUUACAAUUAAAUUAAAAUCUAAAAAUUUCACUUAAAUAUUUUAAUUAAAAUUAAACUUAACUUCCAAAAAAUAAAUAAAUCUUAAUUUCACCAGCCAUGUAUAACCG